Molecule: ribosomal RNA, 438 nt
Filed under: Triticum aestivum (bread wheat)
Lineage: Eukaryota; Viridiplantae; Streptophyta; Magnoliopsida; Poales; Poaceae
Description: partial small subunit ribosomal RNA
Source: RNAcentral
AUGACAUGCGGCGUGGCCUCGGAAUCGGCGCCCCCGCCGGCGGAUCAAAUCCGCGUGGUUGGUGUGUGGGCCGGGCCCCUGGAGGUGGAGCUGGGCGCCUGGAAGGUGCCGAUGCUGCGGGGGGAGGUGGCGUGGCAGGCCGGGGACGUGGAGCCCGACCGCGUUGGCCUCAUCUUCGGCGGCCGCGUGCUCAAGGACGACCCCGCCGGCGUCCCGCUGCAGCAGGCCGGCCUCAAUAAGCUCGUCAGGAUGUGGUUUGGAUCGAUUUUCUCAUCUAUGAUUGAAUCGCGACGGGUAUUUUGGAUUUUGAGAUUCCUGUUCUGUUCUCCCUGGUUUUCGGCGGAAAGAUAUUCAGUCACCACGAGCGGGAUUUUCGCUUGGCAGUCUAAAAUUAGGAGCACUAGUACAGGACACGCAUUCUUGUAUGAUCUUGGCUAG